UACGUAGGGGGCAAGCGUUAUCCGGAUUUACUGGGUGUAAAGGGGGCGCAGACGGCGAUGCAAGCCAGGAGUGAAAGCCCGGGGCCCAACCCCGGGACUGCUCUUGGAACCGCGUGGCUGGAGUGCAGGAGGGGCAGGCGGAAUUCCUGGUGUAGCGGUGAAAUGCGUAGAUAUCAGGAGGAACACCGGUGGCGAAGGCGGCCUGCUGGACUGCAACUGACGUUGAGGCCCGAAAGCGUGGGGAGCAAACAGG
RNAcentral lists this ribosomal RNA (253 nucleotides) under uncultured bacterium. RNAcentral's name for it is "partial 16S ribosomal RNA". It matches the Rfam family "Bacterial small subunit ribosomal RNA", at positions 524 to 776 of the family's 1533-position model. The record is from RNAcentral.